GACGAACGCUGGCGGCGUGCUUAACACAUGCAAGUCGAACGGAAAGGCCCUGCUUUUGUGGGGUGCUCGAGUGGCGAACGGGUGAGUAACACGUGAGUAACCUGCCCUUGACUUUGGGAUAACUUCAGGAAACUGGUGCUAAUACCGGAUAGGAGCUCCUGCUGCAUGGUGGGGGUUGGAAAGUUUCGGCGGUUGGGGAUGGACUCGCGGCUUAUCAGCUUGUUGGUGGGGUAGUGGCUUACCAAGGCUUUGACGGGUAGCCGGCCUGAGAGGGUGACCGGCCACAUUGGGACUGAGAUAAGGCACAGACUCCUACGGGAGGCAGCAGUGGGGAAUAUUGCACAAUGGGCGGAAGCAUGAUGCAGCAACGCCGCGUGCGGGAUGACGGCCUUCGGGUUGUAAACCGCUUUCGCCUGUGACGAAGCGUGAGUGACGGUAAUGGGUAAAGAAGCCCCGGCUAACUACGUG
RNAcentral lists this ribosomal RNA (468 nucleotides) under uncultured bacterium. RNAcentral's name for it is "partial 16S ribosomal RNA". It matches the Rfam family "Bacterial small subunit ribosomal RNA", at positions 28 to 507 of the family's 1533-position model. The record is from RNAcentral.